This 484-nucleotide ribosomal RNA is filed under the name uncultured bacterium. Its description in RNAcentral is "partial 16S ribosomal RNA". It matches the Rfam family "Bacterial small subunit ribosomal RNA", at positions 30 to 507 of the family's 1533-position model. The record is from RNAcentral.
AUUGAACGCUGGCGGCAGGCCUAACACAUGCAAGUCGAGCGGAUGAAGGGAGCUUGCUCCUGGAUUCAGCGGCGGACGGGUGAGUAAUGCCUAGGAAUCUGCCUGGUAGUGGGGGAUAACGUCCGGAAACGGGCGCUAAUACCGCAUACGUCCUGAGGGAGAAAGUGGGGGAUCUUCGGACCUCACGCUAUCAGAUGAGCCUAGGUCGGAUUAGCUAGUUGGUGGGGUAAAGGCCUACCAAGGCGACGAUCCGUAACUGGUCUGAGAGGAUGAUCAGUCACACUGGAACUGAGACACGGUCCAGGCUCCUACGGGAGGCAGCAGUGGGGAAUAUUGGACAAUGGGCGAAAGCCUGAUCCAGCCAUGCCGCGUGUGUGAAGAAGGUCUUCGGAUUGUAAAGCACUUUAAGUUGGGAGGAAGGGCAGUAAGUUAAUACCUUGUUGUUUUGACGUUACCAACAGAAUAAGCACCGGCUAACUUCGUG